Molecule: unclassified non-coding RNA, 180 nt
Filed under: Glomeraceae sp.
Lineage: Eukaryota; Fungi; Glomeromycota; Glomeromycetes; Glomerales; Glomeraceae
Description: partial contains 5.8S ribosomal RNA and internal transcribed spacer 2
Rfam family: 5.8S ribosomal RNA (bases 1-71)
Source: RNAcentral
GUGAAUCAUCAAAUCUUUGAACGCAAAUUGCACUCCCUGGUAUUCCGGGGAGUAUGCCUGUUUGAGGGUCGUUAGAAUAAAAAAUCGAUGCGUCGCUCUUUUUUUUAGGGGUGACAGCGUAGGAAUUGAGCCGUCUUUCAAAUGUUAUUUCAUGUCAAAGUGGCUUAAAUUUCUUCAACC